This 339-nucleotide ribosomal RNA is filed under the name uncultured fungus. Its description in RNAcentral is "eukaryotic LSU rRNA". The stretch from base 1 to 71 matches the Rfam family "5.8S ribosomal RNA", at positions 84 to 154 of the family's 154-position model. The record is from RNAcentral. Lineage: Eukaryota; Fungi.
GUGAGUCAUCGAGUCUUUGAACGCAUCUUGCGCUUCUUGGUAUUCCAGGAAGCAUGCCUGUUUGAGUCUCAGUUGACUCUCUGACCGCUUCGGCGGCCAGGAUCUGAGCGGACCAGCGGUAACGCUCGCCGCUCUAAACGCAUGCAGCCGGCCUCUAGAGUGUUAAGACUCGGAAUGGCUUGAUAAUGUCUUCUGACUUAUUAGCUAUCUGGAUCCAGCGUCUCCUUAGGCCAAGGCGCCAGACUGUUUGUGCCAGCGAAAACGGCGUCUCACACUCGACACCUUGAGCUCAAAUCAGCAAGACUACCCGCUGAACUUAAGCAUAUCAAUAAGGCGAGG